GAUGAACGCUGGCGGCGUGCCUAAUACAUGCAAGUCGAGCGAACGGACGAGAAGCUUGCUUUUCUGAUGUUAGCGGCGGACGGGUGAGUAACACGUGGAUAACCUACCUAUAAGACUGGGAUAACUUCGGGAAACCGGAGCUAAUACCGGAUAAUAUUUUGAACCGCAUGGUUCAAAAGUGAAAGACGGUCUUGCUGUCACUUAUAGAUGGAUCCGCGCUGCAUUAGCUAGUUGGUAAGGUAACGGCUUACCAAGGCAACGAUGCAUAGCCGACCUGAGAGGGUGAUCGGCCACACUGGAACUGAGACACGGUCCAGACUCCUACGGGAGGCAGCAGUAGGGAAUCUUCCGCAAUGGGCGAAAGCCUGACGGAGCAACGCCGCGUGAGUGAUGAAGGUCUUCGGAUCGUAAAACUCUGUUAUUAGGGAAGAACAUAUGUGUAAGUAACUGUGGCCAUCUUGACGGUACCUAAUCAGAAAGCCCCGGCUAACUACGUG
RNAcentral lists this ribosomal RNA (497 nucleotides) under uncultured bacterium. Its description in RNAcentral is "partial 16S ribosomal RNA". It matches the Rfam family "Bacterial small subunit ribosomal RNA", at positions 28 to 507 of the family's 1533-position model. The record is from RNAcentral.